RNAcentral lists this long non-coding RNA (515 nucleotides) under Junco hyemalis (dark-eyed junco). RNAcentral's name for it is "lncRNA (ENSJHYG00000000106.1)". Lineage: Eukaryota; Metazoa; Chordata; Aves; Passeriformes; Passerellidae. The record is from RNAcentral.
CUCCAUGUACUCAUGCAGAUACGAAACAAUAUUUGAGCAGUCCUAAUUAUUCUAACAUAAUUCCAUUAUUUUUUCAGGAUCUUAUUUAUUGCUUUGAAAACUGUGCAGUGAGGGCAAGGAUUGGGGAGAGCAGGCCCACUGGUACCCUGAAAUUUUCUACACUCAGUUAUGAUUGAGUAGAAGUUGUGAUACAUGAGGGAUUAUGGAAAUUCAAAUAAGAAGGAAGUUCCCUGUUCUACAGACCUUCCAAUCCCUGUGGAGGACAAAUGGAAACAAAAAAAUCCUUGAGAACAGGAGAUAUUUUGCAUAGCCUGAGAAAGAGUUUCUCAAAGAUCGUCCAGUAGCAAAAUACACACAAGUCUGUAAAAUAGCAAAAAUGUGUUUAUCAUCACUGGGAACUUACACAUGGCAAGUCUGAAAGGUACAGAGAGAGUAUCUUGGCAGAAAAAAAAACCUGAAUACAGUAAAACAUAAAGACAUAAAGAAAAUAUUUUUUCUUGCAAAAUAUUUUUCAC